AAGUCGUAACAAGGUUUCCGUAGGUGAACCUGCGGAAGGAUCAUUAAUAAAAUGAUGAAUUUUUUGGGGUUUUCCCUGAAAAAUAAUUCACCUUUUGUGCACUGUUAUAAGAUAUACAUUGGUUAGAGCUUUGAUUUCAUUUAUUGGAAUCAACUUCUUGCUGACUCUAUCCUUUCUGAGGACAGUUGGCUAUGAAGCGGCCUACCAAGGUUUUUUAUCAAACUCAUUUAAUUUAUCUGACCUAAACUAUUAUAAUAAAAUCAUAACUUUCAACAACGGAUCUCUUGGCUCUC
RNAcentral lists this unclassified non-coding RNA (293 nucleotides) under fungal sp. RNAcentral's name for it is "partial internal transcribed spacer region". The stretch from base 1 to 46 matches the Rfam family "Eukaryotic small subunit ribosomal RNA", at positions 1786 to 1831 of the family's 1831-position model. Lineage: Eukaryota; Fungi. The record is from RNAcentral.